This 508-nucleotide ribosomal RNA is filed under the name uncultured bacterium. RNAcentral describes it as "partial 16S ribosomal RNA". It matches the Rfam family "Bacterial small subunit ribosomal RNA", at positions 28 to 523 of the family's 1533-position model. The record is from RNAcentral.
GAUGAACGCUAGCUACAGGCUUAACACAUGCAAGUCGAGGGGAAACGAUAUUGGAAGCUUGCUUCCGAUAGGCGUCGACCGGCGCACGGGUGAGUGACGCGUAUCCAACCUGCCCAUCACUUGGGGAUAACCUUGCGAAAGUAAGACUAAUACCCAAUGACGUCUCUAGAAGACAUCUGAAAGAGAUUAAAGAUUUAUCGGUGAUGGAUGGGGAUGCGUCUGAUUAGCUUGUUGGCGGGGUAACGGCCCACCAAGGCGACGAUCAGUAGGGGUUCUGAGAGGAAGGUCCCCCACAUUGGAACGGAGACACGGUCCAAACUCCUACGGGAGGCAGCAGUGAGGAAUAUUGGUCAAUGGGCGAGAGCCUGAACCAGCCAAGUAGUGUGCAGGAUGACGGCCCUAUGGGUUGUAAACUGCUUUUAUAAGGGAAUAAAGUGGGAGUCGUGACUCCUUUUGCAUGUACCUUAUGAAUAAGGACCGGCUAAUUCCGUGCCAGCCGCCGCCGUAA